Regulatory RNA element from Drosophila willistoni, 114 nucleotides. It matches the Rfam family "Potassium channel RNA editing signal". Rfam says of the family: This family represents a group of sequences related to the human potassium channel Kv1.1 hairpin element which directs the efficient modification of an adenosine to inosine by an adenosine deaminase acting on RNA (ADAR). The ADAR modification causes an isoleucine/valine recoding event which lies in the ion-conducting pore of the potassium channel. Lineage: Eukaryota; Metazoa; Arthropoda; Insecta; Diptera; Drosophilidae. The record is from Rfam.
GUCGGCUACGGUGAUAUGGCGCCAAAAACCUAUAUUGGCAUGUUUGUCGGAGCAUUGUGCGCUCUAGCCGGUGUGCUAACCAUUGCACUGCCAGUACCCGUUAUUGUUAGUAAU